GCUAUGAUGACAUUCUUUCAACUGAUCUCCAAGUUGAUGUUCAGUUCUCUAAGAAGUUCUGAGCCU
Colossoma macropomum (tambaqui) is the source of this 66-nucleotide small nucleolar RNA. RefSeq annotates it as small nucleolar RNA SNORD61. The record is from RefSeq and is a predicted model, not a curated record. NCBI's taxonomy places the organism in Eukaryota, Metazoa, Chordata, Actinopteri, Characiformes, Serrasalmidae. The transcript has a single exon.